This 338-nucleotide long non-coding RNA is filed under the name Neogobius melanostomus (round goby). Its description in RNAcentral is "lncRNA (ENSNMLG00000003043.1)". Lineage: Eukaryota; Metazoa; Chordata; Actinopteri; Gobiiformes; Gobiidae. The record is from RNAcentral.
AUGACGUCAGACGGGGAAGGGAGAUGCGGCGCUUCCGCAGACGCCUUAUCAACUUUUAUCAACAAAGAAACGGACUAACAGCAGCGGACAGAGAGAGGAGCUUCUGAAACAGGUUGAUUCCUGCUGCGCGUUGGCUCUCCCUGGUUUAGAACUGGUCUGUCCUGAUUCUUGCUCUGAGUCACAUGUCUCUAAAGAAGAGGAAGAGCCUCAGUCUGUUUCCUCCGUCUGCAGCUCAGGACUCGCUGGUUUUAUCUCCACCCCGAGAACACCUCAGUUCUUGGACUUGGAUCGAGUUCUUGGACCCAGGAUCGAGUCGAGACCAAGGCGAGCCUCCCAAC